CCCUUAGACGUUCUGGGCCGCACGCGCGCUACACUGACCAGUGCAACAAGCAUCCGUCCUUGGCCGACAGGCCCGGGCAAUCUUUGAACGCUGGUCGUGAUGGGGAUAGACUUUUGCAAUUUUUGGUCUUCAACGAGGAAUUCCUAGUAAACGCAAGUCAUCAACUUGCAUUGAUUACGUCCCUGCCCUUUGUACACACCGCCCGUCGCACCCACCGAUUGAAUGGUCCGGUGAAGCCUCCGGAUUGGCGCGCACCUCGGUGCCGCCGAGAAGUUGGCUAAACCUUACCAUUUAGAGGAAGGUGAAGUCGUAACA
Molecule: ribosomal RNA, 315 nt
Filed under: uncultured eukaryote
Lineage: Eukaryota
Description: partial 18S ribosomal RNA
Rfam family: Eukaryotic small subunit ribosomal RNA
Source: RNAcentral